CUAUCGGAUCGUUUUAGAAACAUUAGUGGCCAACGGUCGUCAGGAUCGUUGAGCUGCAUUGGCGGGAUUUCGCCGUCUUCGUUUCUCUUUCUUCGCGGACGAACACGCGCUGGGCCUGCAUGGUUGCAGGAUCCCGGUCCUUAACUGGAUAUGCGUUAGGGGCUUGUAGCUCAGUUGGUUAGAGCGCGCGCUUGAUAAGCGUGAGGUCGGAAGUUCAAGUCUUCCCAGGCCCACCACACUCAUCGAGUGAGCAUUCGUCUUCUGGUUACGGGGCCAUAGCUCAGCUGGGAGAGCGCGUGCUUUGCAAGCAUGAGGUCGUCGGUUCGAUCCCGUCUGGCUCCACCAGAUGGUUUGAUCACCGACAACUCAACCGUCGUCCGCGAAACAUCACUUCGCACCCACUAGUCCGGAUGGACAGUGACGUGCGUGAUUUCUGACAUCGUAAAGAGGAGAUCGAUCCGAGUUGGAUCGUGCAGAAGAUUUCUGCGCGGUACUCCAUUAUCUCCGGAUCAUUUCGGCGCUCGUGCGUCUUCCAGGGUAGCUCACAAGGCUGCAUUGAAAGACAAGCGAGUUGUAAAUGAUCCUUUUAGCGAAGCUUGACCGCCUCGCUAUCGGAACGAUCUUACGAAGCAAGCUGGUCUUUCUAAUCAUUGUCCGGCUGUACGUAGCGUUCAUCGAGGGCGCGCGCCGCAAGGCAAUCGUACAGACAACAUUCUGCCGAGUGUGUGGACAUUGAUAAUGAGAG
Molecule: transfer RNA, 745 nt
Filed under: Bradyrhizobium sp. 13.3
Lineage: Bacteria; Pseudomonadati; Pseudomonadota; Alphaproteobacteria; Hyphomicrobiales; Nitrobacteraceae
Description: partial 16S-23S ribosomal RNA intergenic spacer
Rfam family: tRNA (bases 160-233)
Source: RNAcentral